CAGGGGAGAUACCAUGAUCACGAAGAGAAGCGGUUUUAUGCAGCACGAACGUUGAUUGACGUAGAGGUCGCUGCUGGGAUCCACAACCAGUCAAAACGCUGAUAAUAAAUGAGUUCAGAUGAAUGGUCUACACCAACCGCACAACUCAUAAGAAUUUAAGAACUGGCAGCAUGUGAAUGGGAGUAGAGCUGUGAAAUGCUGUCUACUGGAGGUGAUGCAGCGGUCGCACACGUCACCUCACAGAAGCUGUAUUUACAUGUACGUACAAAACCUGCGCAGGGGAGCUGAAGAGCUAGCUCAGUUCCAUUUCCAGCGCUGAGUGGAGGUAGUUCAUCUGCCUGAAACUCCAGUUCCAGAAGCAGAGAAAGGGGACACCUCAGAGAAGCUAACUAUAGACUGAAUCAGUGAGCUCUGGUUCAUAGCAAGAGUCCCUGCUUCAGUUAAAAAAACAAAAAACUCUACAACCUCUAACGCACUUGUGAACAUGGUACAUACCACAAAUAUGUCCAUGCAUAUUUUUUAUAUGCAUGAGGAAGCACAACUUUUAACUCAGCAUUCAGGAAGCAGAAGCAAGGCAGAUUUCUGUAAGUUAGAGGACAGCCUGUUCUAUAUAAUGAGUUCCAGUCUACCCUGGGCAAUACAAUGAGAGCAAGUCUCAAAAAAAUCAAUAUACAUUUUUAAAUGUUCCCAUGGGGAGGAGAGAACUUGUUGCAGAGGACAGCUCAUUCCAACCCUGAGUUCUGAGCUGGAACUCAAUCAGCUUCAGUGGCAAGGGCCCUCGCCUGCUGAGGGCAACCUCCAGCUGCUGCAGAACUGCCUUGCGGUUUUAAACGGAG
RNAcentral lists this long non-coding RNA (836 nucleotides) under Cricetulus griseus (Chinese hamster). Its description in RNAcentral is "lncRNA (ENSCGRG00015029895.1)". The record is from RNAcentral. Lineage: Eukaryota; Metazoa; Chordata; Mammalia; Rodentia; Cricetidae.